UAUUGUUAUUUGUCAUAUUGACAAACCAAAAAUAUUUAUAGAAUGAACAUUUGUAUCCUUGCUUAUCAGUAAAACAGCUUAAAUAAUUCAUACUUCAUUCAUAUGUACAAAGCGAUGAGAAAUUUGUAUUUGUUGAUUGGGGUGGGUUUUUACACUUUUACGUUUAAUUUUCAACUUUCCACAUUUUCCUAAGAAAAAAAUAUAGCAGCAUGACAAGUCAAGAAAGAAUCACUCAAUCUAUUAGAAAUUCUGGCACAUCAUCUUACUACUCUAGAAGAACCGCUCCAGGUCCUCACGAAUCUCGAUGGAGGCGAUUUAAAAAUUAUUUGUAUGACAAAGAGACUAAAUAUGUAUGUGGCAGAUCGGGAAUUAGUUGGGUGAAAAUUAUUGGCUAUUAUGUAUUAUUUAUCACAGGAGUGUCUUGUUUAUUUUCAUUCAUAUUAGGAAUUACUCUGUACAUGAUUGAAAGAUCUCCAGUACCCCUUAUGCCAAAAACCAAGUAUUUAAUGGAAAAUCCACCUGGAUUUACUUUUCUUCCUAACAAAUAUCCUGAAAUGCCCCUUAUAUGGUAUUAUAAUGGUAUUGAAAGUAGUGUUCAUUCGAAAACAGUUAACGAUUUUUUUGAAGUCUAUGACGAUGCAGUCUCAAAAAAUGCAGACAAUUAUGUGGAUUGUGAAAAAGAAAACCCUAAAGAUCACAAUAAGAGUUGCAUCUUUAGAAGAGAUGCUUUAGGUCCAUGUGCUCAACCAACUUAUGGUUCAAAGUCACCCUGUAUUUAUUUAAAACUAAACAAACAUCCGGGUUGGGUACCAAAAUAUUAUGGUGCUUUACCUGAUAAAAUGCCAGAAGAACUUAAAAAACUAAUAAAGGCUUCCACAAACAGAAAGAAAAUAUGGGUUUACUGUCACCCUAAUAAACCAGCUGAUGAAGAUCAUUUAGGGAAUAUCAGUUACUAUCCCAAUCAAGAAAUUCAAGAAUACUACUUCCCUUUUAAUUUUCAAAAAUAUUAUUUAAGUCCUGUAGUAGCAGUUCAAAUAAAUGAUGUUGAGCCGGGUUAUCUAAGUGUUGUAAGGUGUUCAGUGUGGGCUGAUAACAUUGCACCUAAAUUCCAAUCUGUUUUGAUUUCAUUUUAUAUCGGAUCCCCAAAAUAAUCAGUGUCAAGUAAAGAUAAUAGUAAAUAACGUAUUUGAAGUACAAAAAAAAAAACAAAAUGUAUUUUACCUUACGCUUUCGGCGGCGAUUACAGAGGUAUCACUACUCGUUCUGGAUGAGAUUUUCUUUUCAAAUUCUCUGAACUCUUUGGCUAUUUUAGU
RNAcentral lists this unclassified non-coding RNA (1313 nucleotides) under Agrilus planipennis (emerald ash borer). RNAcentral describes it as "sodium/potassium-transporting ATPase subunit beta- like, transcript variant X7". Lineage: Eukaryota; Metazoa; Arthropoda; Insecta; Coleoptera; Buprestidae. The record is from RNAcentral.